RNAcentral lists this transfer RNA (99 nucleotides) under Leptolyngbya sp. SIOISBB. Its description in RNAcentral is "tRNA-His". The record is from RNAcentral. Lineage: Bacteria; Bacillati; Cyanobacteriota; Cyanophyceae; Leptolyngbyales; Leptolyngbyaceae.
GGGCUACCCGAAGUGGUGGAGGGGCUGGUCUGUGAAACCAGUGUUAGCGAGUUUCUCCUAGUGGAGACGCUUCGCGAACGACUCUCGUCAGUCACCCCA